AGUGAACGCUGGCGGUAGGCCUAACACAUGCAAGUCGAACGGCAGCACAGGAGAGCUUGCUCUCUGGGUGGCGAGUGGCGGACGGGUGAGGAAUACAUCGGAAUCUACCUUUUCGUGGGGGAUAACGUAGGGAAACUUACGCUAAUACCGCAUACGACCUACGGGUGAAAGGUGGGGGACCGCAAGGCCUCACGCGAUUA
RNAcentral lists this ribosomal RNA (200 nucleotides) under uncultured bacterium. RNAcentral describes it as "partial 16S ribosomal RNA". It matches the Rfam family "Bacterial small subunit ribosomal RNA", at positions 29 to 223 of the family's 1533-position model. The record is from RNAcentral.